GCUUGCUUCAGAUGACGACCGGCGAACGGGUGCGUAACGCGUAUAGAAUCUGCCUUGUACAGGAGGAUAGCCUUUAGAAAUGAAGAUUAAUACUCCAUAAUACUGAUAUGUGGCAUCAUAAAUUAGUUAAACAUUUAUGGGUACAAGAUGACUAUGCGUCCUAUUAGCUAGAUGGUAAGGUAACGGCUUACCAUGGCAACGAUAGGUAGGGGGUCUGAGAGGAUUAUCCCCCACACUGGUACUGAGACACGGACCAGACUCCUACGGGAGGCAGCAGUGAGGAAUAUUGGUCAAUGGAGGCAACUCUGAACCAGCCAUGCCGCGUGCAGGAAGACUGCCCUAUGGGUUGUAAACUGCUUUUAUACAGGAAGAAACCGAUCUACGUGUAGGUCCUUGACGGUACUGUAAGAAUAAGCACCGGCUAACUCCGUGCCAGCAGCCGCGGUAAUACGGAGGGUGCAAGCGUUAUCCGGAAUCAUUGGGUUUAAAGGGUCCGC
Molecule: ribosomal RNA, 497 nt
Filed under: uncultured Tenacibaculum sp.
Lineage: Bacteria; Pseudomonadati; Bacteroidota; Flavobacteriia; Flavobacteriales; Flavobacteriaceae
Description: bacterial SSU rRNA
Rfam family: Bacterial small subunit ribosomal RNA
Source: RNAcentral